UUGGAAACAGGUGCUAAUACCGCAUAACCAUGAACACCGCAUGAUGUUCGUGUAAAAGACGGCUUUUGCUGUCACUUUUGGAUGGGCCUGCGGCGUAUUAACUUGUUGGUGGGGUAACGGCCUACCAAGGUGAUGAUACGUAGCGGGACUGAGAGGUUGAACGGCCACAUUGGGACUGAGACACGGCCCAGACUCCUACGGGAGGCAGCAGUGCGGAAUAUUGCACAAUGGGGGAAACCCUGAUGCAGCGACGCCGCGUGGAGGAAGAAGGUCUUCGGAUUGUAAACUCCUGUUGUUGGGGAAGAUAAUGACGGUACCCAACAAGGAAGUGACGGCUAACUACGUGCCAGCAGCCGCGGUAAAACGUAGGUCACAAGCGUUGUCCGGAAUUACUGGGUGUAAAGGGAGCGCAGGCGGGAAGACAAGUUGGAAGUGAAAUCUAUGGGCUCAACCCAUAAACUGCUUUCAAAACUGUUUUUCUUGAGUAGUGCAGAGGUAGGCGGAAUUCCCGGUGUAGCGGUGGAAUGCGUAGAUAUCGGGAGGAACACCAGUGGCGAAGGCGGCCUACUGGGCACCAACUGACGCUGAGGCUCGAAAGUGUGGGUAGCAAACAGGAUUAGAUACCCUGGUAGUCCACACCGUAAACGAUGAUUACUAGGUGUUGGAGGAUUGACCCCUUCAGUGCCGCAGUUAACACAAUAAGUAAUCCACCUGGGGAGUACGACCGCAAGGUUGAAACUCAAAGGAAUUGACGGGGGCCCGCACAAGCAGUGGAGUAUGUGGUUUAAUUCGACGCAACGCGAAGAACCUUACCAAGUCUUGACAUCCCUUGACAGACAUAGAAAUAUGUAAUCUCUUCGGAGCAAGGAGACAGGUGGUGCAUGGUUGUCGUCAGCUCGUGUCGUGAGAUGUUGGGUUAAGUCCCGCAACGAGCGCAACCCUUAUGGUCAGUUACUACGCAAGAGGACUCUGGCCAGACUGCCGUUGACAAAACGGAGGAAGGUGGGGAUGACGUCAAAUCAUCAUGCCCUUUAUGACUUGGGCUACACACGUACUACAAUGGCGUUAAACAAAGAGAAGCAAGACCGCGAGGUGGAGCAAAACUCAGAAACAACGUCCCAGUUCGGACUGCAGGCUGCAACUCGCCUGCACGAAGUCGGAAUUGCUAGUAAUCGUGGAUCAGCAUGCCACGGUGAAUACGUUCCCGGGCCUUGUACACACCGCCCGUCACACCAUGAGAGCCGGGGGGACCCGAAGUCGGUAGUCUAACCGCAAGGAGGACGCCGCCGAAGGUAAAACUGGUGAUUGGGGUGAAGUCGUAACAAGGU
RNAcentral lists this ribosomal RNA (1328 nucleotides) under metagenome. RNAcentral describes it as "bacterial SSU rRNA". It matches the Rfam family "Bacterial small subunit ribosomal RNA", at positions 150 to 1497 of the family's 1533-position model. The record is from RNAcentral.